This 597-nucleotide unclassified non-coding RNA is filed under the name Hevea brasiliensis (rubber tree). The record is from RNAcentral. Lineage: Eukaryota; Viridiplantae; Streptophyta; Magnoliopsida; Malpighiales; Euphorbiaceae.
AUGCCAUGGAGGCUGUCAAGUGGGGCACUGACUAUCUCAUCAAAGCCCAUCCAGAGCCCAAUGUUCUCUAUGGAGAGGUGGGGGAUGGUAACACAGAUCACUACUGCUGGCAGCGGCCGGAGGACAUGACAACUAGCCGGGCCGCCUACCGCGUCGACGCCGACCAUCCUGGCUCUGACCUCGCCGGCGAGACUGCCGCCGCUAUGGCCGCCGCCUCCGCUGUCUUCCGCCACUCGGAUCCGGGCUACUCCAACCUCCUCCUCACCCAUGCCCGCGAGCUUUUCGAAUUUGCGGACAAGUACCGAGGGAAGUAUGAUGGCAGUAUCACCGUGGCUCAGAAGUACUACCAAUCCUACAGCGGAUAUGGGGAUGAGUUGCUGUGGGCUGCAUCCUGGCUGUAUCAGGCGACUAAUGAGCACUACUACCUGGAUUACCUUGGUAACAAUGGCGUAGCCCUCGGUGGCACCGGUUGGGCCAUGACUGAGUUUGGCUGGGAUGUUAAGUAUGCUGGCAUGCAAGUCCUUGCUUCCAAGUUCCUCCUCCAAGGGAAGGCAGAUCAGCACUCUCCUGUGUUUGAGAAGUACCAGCAGAAAGCCG